This 522-nucleotide ribosomal RNA is filed under the name Gordonia amicalis. Its description in RNAcentral is "bacterial SSU rRNA". It matches the Rfam family "Bacterial small subunit ribosomal RNA", at positions 386 to 918 of the family's 1533-position model. Lineage: Bacteria; Bacillati; Actinomycetota; Actinomycetes; Mycobacteriales; Gordoniaceae. The record is from RNAcentral.
AUGCAGCGACGCCGCGUGUGGGAUGACGGCCUUCGGGUUGUAAACCUCUGGGACAAGGGACGAAGCGCAAGUGACGGUACCUGGAGAAGAAGCACCGGCCAACUACGUGCCAGCAGCCGCGGUAAUACGUAGGGUGCGAGCGUUGUCCGGAAUUACUGGGCGUAAAGAGCUCGUAGGCGGUUUGUCGCGUCGUCUGUGAAAUUCUGCAACUCAAUUGUAGGCGUGCAGGCGAUACGGGCAGACUUGAGUACUACAGGGGAGACUGGAAUUCCUGGUGUAGCGGUGAAAUGCGCAGAUAUCAGGAGGAACACCGGUGGCGAAGGCGGGUCUCUGGGUAGUAACUGACGCUGAGGAGCGAAAGCGUGGGUAGCGAACAGGAUUAGAUACCCUGGUAGUCCACGCCGUAAACGGUGGGUACUAGGUGUGGGGCUCAUUUCACGAGUUCCGUGCCGUAGCUAACGCAUUAAGUACCCCGCCUGGGGAGUACGGCCGCAAGGCUAAAACUCAAAUGAAUUGACGGGG